RNAcentral lists this small RNA (556 nucleotides) under Pan troglodytes (chimpanzee). RNAcentral describes it as "retained intron". Lineage: Eukaryota; Metazoa; Chordata; Mammalia; Primates; Hominidae. The record is from RNAcentral.
CUGGGAUCCACAGAGUACUCCACCCCCAUUGAUAUGUGGGGCGUGGGCUGCAUCCACUACGAGAUGGCCACAGGGAGGCCCCUCUUCCCGGGCUCCACAGUCAAGGAGGAGCUGCACCUCAUCUUUCGCCUCCUCGGUCAGUCUCCCGCUGCUCCGUCCCUCUCACCACCAGGGGGCGCCGGAACUCCUCCAGCCCAGGCGCGGAGCGGGACGGGGAGGAGCGGCUCGGCCGCUUCUCUCCCGGGCGGGGACCCCCUGUGGCCUCGGCCAUCUUUGCUCCCACCUCAUACAUUGCAUCCCUUUCAAGUCGGCCUUGGCCCUGGGCCUCACGCAGGCCCUCCCCACCCUCUCUCGUCUCCCCAGGGACCCCCACAGAAGAGACGUGGCCCGGCGUGACCGCCUUCUCUGAGUUCCGCACCUACAGCUUCCCCUGCUACCUCCCGCAGCCGCUCAUCAACCACGCGCCCAGGUAGCCCCUGCGCCCGCCGCCCCUCCUGCUGCGGCCCUGGCUCUCCCAUCCCCAAUCAGGCACAGCCUGUGUCCGCGCCUUCUCCUU